GUGAAUCAUCAAAUUUUUGAACGCAAAUUGCGCUCUCUGGUAUUCCGGAGAGUAUGCCUGUUUGAGGGUCAGUUAAAAUAAAAAUCGGUUUAUUGGGUUUGUUUCGUGGUGACGCGAGGUAUUUGAGUCGUAUUGCCUUCGGUUGAGUGGCCUAGAAUUUUUCAUGAAUUUUUUCUAGCGUAUUUGAAUGAUUGUGCGUACGUUUGCGAUAGUGAGUACUAGUGGUGUUCAUGGUCA
RNAcentral lists this unclassified non-coding RNA (237 nucleotides) under Glomus sp. RNAcentral's name for it is "partial contains 5.8S ribosomal RNA and internal transcribed spacer 2". The stretch from base 1 to 71 matches the Rfam family "5.8S ribosomal RNA", at positions 84 to 154 of the family's 154-position model. The record is from RNAcentral. Lineage: Eukaryota; Fungi; Glomeromycota; Glomeromycetes; Glomerales; Glomeraceae.